GCAAAUUAGCUUUACUCCACAUGCCCCGAGUCACAAAAACUAAAAUACCUCUUAGUCUAAGUAGACAUUUUCACUAGACAGGUAGAGGCCUUUCCUACAGGGUCUGAGAAGGCCACCGCAGUCAUUUCUUCCCUUCUGUCAGACAUAAUUCCUCAGUUUAGCCUUCCCAGCUCUAUACAGUCUGAUAACAGACCAGGCUUUAUUAGUCAAAUUAGCCAAGCAGUUUUUCAGGCUCUUAGUAUUCAGUGAAACCUUUAUAUCCCUUAUAGUUCUCUGUCUUCAAGAAAAGUAGAACAGACUAAAGGUCUUUUAAAAACACACCUCACCAAGCUCAGCCACCAAUUUAAAAAGAACUGGACAAUACUUUUACCACUUUCCCUUCUCAGAAGUCAGACCUGUCCUCAGAAUGCUACAAGGUACAGUCCAUUUAAGCUCCUGUAUAGAUGCUCCUUUUUAUUAGGCCCCAGUCUCAUCCCAGACACCAGACCAAUUUAGACUGUGCCCCCCAAAAAACUUGUCAUCCCUGCUAUUUUCUGUCUAGUCAUACUCCUAUUCUCCGUUCUCAACUACUCAUACAUGCCCUGCUCUUGUUUACACUGCCAGUUUACACUGUUUCUCCAAGCCAUCACAGCUGAUAUCUCCUCAUGCUAUCCCCAAACCGCCACUCUUAACUCUUGAAGUAAAUAAAUAAUCUUUGCUGGCAGGACUAUGCGGAACCUCCUUAUGCACUCUCUAAUUAGAUGUCCUAGGUCCUCCCAAUUCUUAGUCCUUUUAUACCUGUUUUUCUCCUUCUCUUAUUCCAUUUAGUUUUUCAAUUCAUACAAAACCGUAUCCAGGCCAUCACCAAUCUUUCUGUACAACAAAUGUUUCUUCUAACAACCCCACAAUGUCACCCCUUACCACAGGAUCUCCCUUCAGCUUAAUCUCUCCCACUCUAGGUUCCCACACCACCCCUAAUCUCCCUUGAAGCAGCCCUGAGAAACAUCGCCCAUUCUCUCUCCAUACCACCCCCCAAAAAUUUUCGCUGCCUCAACACUUCAACACUAUUUUGUUUUAUUUUUCUUAUUAAUAUAAGAAGGCAGGAAUGUCAGGCCUCUGAGCCCAAGCCAAGCCAUCGCAUCCCCUGUGACUUGCACGUAUACGCCCAGAUGGCCUGAAGUAACUGAAGAAUCACAAAAGAAGUGAAAAGGCCCUGCCCCGCCUUAACUGAUGACAUUCCACCAUGGUGAUUUGUUCCUGCCCCACCUUAACUGAGUGACUAACCCUGUGAAUUUCCUUCUCCUGGCUCAGAAGCUCCCCCACUGAGCACCUUGUGACCCCCGCCCCUGCCCACCAGAGAACAACCCCCUUUGACUGUAAUUUUCCAUUACCUUCCCAAAUCCUAUAAAACGGCCCCACCCCAUCUCCCUUCGCUGACUCUCUUUUCGGACUCAGCCCGCCUGCCCCCAGGUGAAAUAAACAGCCAUGUUGCUCACACAAAGCCUGUUUGGUGGUCUCUUCACACGGACGCGCAUGAAAAACCCCUUUCAUUUUACUGUGGGAUGGCAACCCUUUUUGGGACCCCUCUCUGCAGCAGAGAACUGUUCUCUUUCUUUCACCUAUUAAACUUCUGCUUCUGCUCUGACCUCGUCCUUGGUGUGUCUGCAUCGUCGAUUUCCUCAGCUGUGAGACCAACGACUUGGGCACCCACCCAGGCAACAAGGCCUUUUCAGUAAGGGAGGUGGUAAAAUGUUUUCAAUCCCUGUUGUCAAAAAUUGGCCUAAGGCUUCCCAAAAAAAGUAACCCAAAGCAGACAUGGCAAAUAUUUGCUACAUUUGAUAAUAAGCCAAUAAAUUAUCUGCUAAUAAGUGACUGAAAUAUUUAGCACACAUCUGCCUUAUUCUGAUGACUGAUCACAUUUCUAGCUCCCCUGUGGACUAAAACAAUAUGCUUUCCUUCUCUACACAAGCAAUGCUUUCUGCAGAGACACAAACUUUACAUCUGAAUACAAAUGCAGCACGUUUUAAUUCUGCCUCUCAUUCUCCAGCAAAAUCAUGGGGAAGAAGGAAAGCAUCCUUAGUCAAAAGGGGUACAGGGACUUAGAACCUCACCAUGCUGCAGUCACACAGGCAAUAGAGAAAGAUGGCGGUGGUUCCCUGGGGCAGUGGCGAACAAGUUCCCCUCUCAAGCAAGGAGACAGGGGCAGCACUCCUACCAUCUCCCCAGGGAUAUAGGAGUUGAGAAGGAAUUGCUUAGGCAGAUAGCAAGGGCAUGGGAGUCCUGGGUAAGGCUUUUCUUUUUAAUGAAAAGCAGCCCCAAGUCAUUUUCUAACAAAGAGCAGCCUGCAGGCUGGGAGCUUGCAUAGGUGAAUGCCAGCAGGAACUAAGGACUAGACAUUUUCAAACUGGUGGCUCCAUCUUCCCUUCCCUGCCAGCCAAGUGUACUGUAAGGAGCAGUCAAGAUGGCUCUGAUCAACUGGAAAGCUUAUUUGCAUAAUAAGAUUAGGGUGGGGCAACCAGCCUUCCCCCGCACACCAUGUAGACGUCAUACCUGAUGGAACCAGUCUGUGAGCCCUAUGUAAAUCAGACACCGCCUUCUCCAACUUAUUAUAUCUGUUUUGGUCCACUGCCUCCCCACUUUUCAGAUGUCUCUCUCUCUCUCUCUCUAAGAGCUGCUCUCCUCUCUCCUUUCUUCUAUCUAUUAAACUUUCCACUCCCUAACCCACCCACAUGUGUCUGUGUCCUGAAUUCUUGGUGUGUGAUGAUGAACCCCAGGGUGUAUACCCCAGACAGCACAGCCACUUCACCAGCAGGGACAGCAGCUGUCACAUGAACUGGAGGUGAGUCUGAUGUCUUGGAAUUUUGAGGAAAGUGGGUAGAAAGUUGCCAAGCAAGCUGAAGAGACAAGCAAAAGGGAUCAUGUUCCAGAAGAAUUCUUAGCAAGACAACAGUCAGAACUUCAAUCAAGGUGAUUGAUUGGUCUGAAAGGGGGAAUACAAUGUAAAUAAAAUACAACCAUGAGAAACCACAUGUAUGUUGUUGAACCUUAUCUAGACACUAACUGUGAAAAAGCCAGCUUGGAUUAUUGAUGAAGGACAUUCAGAAAACCACAGUUUUGCCGUGCUUAUUUAGAGAACAGAGACAGUGGUGUUAUCAGCCUAUAGCUCAAUUGUAAAAUUGGGAUGACUAGAUGUCCCGAGACCAUUCCAUUCCUCGGCCCUCUCGACACUCACCUAAGAAGCUUCCAAAUUUACCACUUCUCAGUCAUUGUAAGGAUGCUGCAUGUCAUAAGGAUGAUUAUGGAAGAUCAUGGGCAUGUUCUACAUAGAGAACAUGAAAAGUCACAAUAUUUUCUUUUAUAAAUUAAUAUUUUGGAAUUUAUAUUAGUUCCCCUAACUCUAAAUAACCAUGGGAAUAUUGACAAAUUUGAUUUUCCAGAACUUUAAAGCUGAGGCUAGACACUAACCACAGUGACUUUAUCUAUGUAGUAGCACACUCUACAGCUGGGAUGUCUGGAUAACAAGUUCCCCAGAUUGCAGCCUCCCUCCAGCACCAAGUAGGAUGACGAGUCUGUUUGGUUUCAUUUUAGCUAUGUAGAUUUGCCAAAUUUUGUCACCUCUGGACUUCAGUUUUCUCAUAUGUAAAAUGAUGCAUGGGCCUGAAUGUUUUCAGAGAACCUUCAAUCUCUGUGAGUCUCUUCACUGAAAAAAUUGUUGACUUUCUGAUUUUUAUUGUUCUGUUUUUCUUUUCAAUGUCAAAAAAGCACUAUGGUAAAAGUCUUUCAGUAAAACUUGAACCUUGGGGCUUGUUCCUGAGUUUGACAUGUUAAACAAAUGAAAGAACUGUUUUCAACUGAUUAGUCAUAUCCUUCUUCAAUUCCUAUGGGAAUAUGGGUUAGUUGUGCAUGAGAAAGUCAUCCGACUUUGGCAUGAAGAUGUCUUUCAGGUAGGUAGGCCACCUGUGAUGAAGUGAAUCAUUGAAGAAAAUCUAUUUUCUUGUGGCAUAAAUACAAGCCUGAAGAUUACACAUAAGCUGUCAUACACAUACCUCCUAAAUGCAAUUCCUCAGAAGUGACAUGCUAUCAUCAUUCACAUUAAUGUCUAUUUGUGCAACUACAUUGUUUAAAAUAAUCAACCAAUUCAUCACAAUAGAUAUUUGGGAGGAGUGAGGGAGCUUUCUCUGUACUAAUGAAAGAAAUGACAUUUCUGUUUACCAUUUGUCAGUUUUAAGUAGUUAAUAAAUAUCUGAAAUGAUUCUCAUA
This 4239-nucleotide long non-coding RNA is filed under the name Pan troglodytes (chimpanzee). RNAcentral's name for it is "lincRNA". Lineage: Eukaryota; Metazoa; Chordata; Mammalia; Primates; Hominidae. The record is from RNAcentral.